This 253-nucleotide ribosomal RNA is filed under the name uncultured bacterium. RNAcentral describes it as "partial 16S ribosomal RNA". It matches the Rfam family "Bacterial small subunit ribosomal RNA", at positions 524 to 776 of the family's 1533-position model. The record is from RNAcentral.
GACGUAGGGGGCAAGCGUUAUUCGGAAUCAUUGGGCGUAAAGCGCUCGUAGGCGGGAAGGCAAGUCCGUGUUGAAAGACCUCGGCUCAACUGAGGGACCGGCUCGGAUACUGUUUUUCUUGAGGCAUUCAGAGGGUGAUGGAAUUCCCGGUGUAGCGGUGAAAUGCGUAGAGAUCGGGAGGAACACCAGUGGCGAAGGCGGCCGGCUGGGGGUGACCUGACGCUGAGGCGCGAAAGCGUGGGGAGCGAACCGG